UACGUAGGUGACAAGCGUUGUCCGGAUUUACUGGGCGUAAAGAGCGCGCAGGCGGUCGUUCAAGUCGAGUGUGAAAGCCCCCGGCUCAACUGGGGAGGGUCAUUCGAUACUGAUCGACUCGAAGGCAGGAGAGGGAAGUGGAAUUCCCGGUGUAGUGGUGAAAUGCGUAGAUAUCGGGAGGAACACCAGUGGCGAAGGCGGCCAUCUGGACGGAUACUGACGCUGAGACGCGAAAGCGUGGGGAGCAAACAGG
RNAcentral lists this ribosomal RNA (253 nucleotides) under uncultured bacterium. Its description in RNAcentral is "partial 16S ribosomal RNA". It matches the Rfam family "Bacterial small subunit ribosomal RNA", at positions 524 to 776 of the family's 1533-position model. The record is from RNAcentral.